AUACGUAGGUGGCGAGCGUUGUCCGGAUUUACUGGGCGUAAAGGAUGCGUAGGCGGAUAUUUAAGUGAGAUGUGAAAUACCCGGGCUUAACUUGGGUGCUGCAUUUCAAACUGGAUAUCUAGAGUGCGGGAGAGGAGAAUGGAAUUCCUAGUGUAGCGGUGAAAUGCGUAGAGAUUAGGAAGAACACCAGUGGCGAAGGCGAUUCUCUGGACCGUAACUGACGCUGAGGCAUGAAAGCGUGGGUAGCAAACAGGAUUAGAUACCCUGGUAGUCCACGCCGUAAACGAUGAGUACUAGGUGUAGGAGGUAUCGACCCCUUCUGUGCCGCAGUUAACACAAUAAGUACUCCGCCUGGGAAGUACGAUCGCAAGAUUAAA
This 377-nucleotide ribosomal RNA is filed under the name uncultured bacterium. Its description in RNAcentral is "bacterial SSU rRNA". It matches the Rfam family "Bacterial small subunit ribosomal RNA", at positions 523 to 898 of the family's 1533-position model. The record is from RNAcentral.